UUUUGGUAUUUAUAAGCAAUUUUCGUGCAAAAUUCAUGGGCAGGUGUUAGUUCUGAAAUUCUGCCCAGAAAAGUGAUAUUUCUGUCAAGGAUUUUGAUGCCAAAUUUCAAUAUUGAGGAGUUGGUGCCAGAUUUCUAUAUUCUGAAAUUUUAGUGUUGUUUUUGUCAAACCUUGGAUUUCCAGAUUUUUCAAGGUUUGAAUGAAUUUAUAUGAUAAAUAUUGAAGCCUAUGUAUUGGACUAACUAUGUAUAGGGGUUGUAUAUGUAUUAAGGUAGUGAUUUUAAGGAAGUGUGAGUGGUGUAAUGGAUUUGAUAAUGUAUGGUGACUAGUUGAUAAAUCAUUAAAGAGAAUAAAAGUUGGAGAAUUGGAGAUGUAAGAGUAAGUAGAAGUUGAGAAGUUAAGUGGUGGAUUUAUAUUAAUUUAAUUGUUAGAUUUUAAUUCGAGAAAUCAUACCGUUAUUUCAGAUGGGAAAGUGGAAGCUUGGAAAUAUUCGUCAAUUUAAUCAGAUUUCUAUCCAUAGAUCUGUGAGUGGAAAAAUAUAAAUAUUUUUAUAAUAUUUAUAAAUUAAGUAUAUUCUUAAAGUAUGUGCAAUUAUCUGCAAUUAUGUGUUCGAAUUGAUACAUUGUGAAUUGGAAUAUCAGAUAUAAUUCUGAGAUCGACCAGAAAAGUACCCGUGAUUAUAUAUUUCUUCUAGUUCACUGAGGGGCCUUGGCCGUGUUCUAUCCUACACGGAGGGUCUUGACCGGAUAUUGGUCUCGAUCGUGUACAUAUAGUUCGCAAAGGAGCCUUGGUUGUGUUCUAGAAUUGAUUACCAAAAGUUUUGAGACCAGCUUUCUUUCACGGAGGGGGCCAAAGGCCGGUGACGAAAGUGCUUAGCUCGUGGGGAAGAUUACAGAUUUUAGUCAAAGGUUGCAUUUUUGGCUGAUCACAUGUGAUGUGAUGAGAUGAUGGUAUAGAUAUCAGCUGAUGACUAUAUCGCGAUUAAGAGAUGAUAUUUACAGUGUUAUGAGAAUGUCUCACUUUUUGUUUAUAAUUGUAUGAGGCGAUCAUGUGAAAUAUUAAAUGAUAUGAACUUGAUGUUUGAUAAAAAUGUUUAAAGAAGAAAGUAUGAUUAUUUUUGACCUAUUCCACUCGUUGAGCUGUCAACUCAUAUUUUUUUUAAAUUAUUCUUUCAAGUAAUAUUGGUCCUUGAUAGCUUGAGGAGCCUGGUGAUUUCAGAGUUAGAGUCAUACGACAUAUUGCAUUAUAUGAGUCAAUUUGAAAAACCACGAAGUAAGUUUUGGGCCCAUCGCAUUAUGUUUUUAUAAACAUUUAAUUUUUUUGCAUUUUUUUUGAAAUAACUCAUAGUCAGCCUUGGUGAUAGAUUUAACAUCUAUUCAGCAUCUAUCAUCGGCGUACGUCACGUUUCGGGUCCACUAGGGUGAUUCGGGACAGGUCGUGUCAAAGUGGUAUCAAAGCAUGGUUUACAAAGUUAUGAGAGUCUUCAUAGUUCAUGCAUUGACAUAUCAUGCAUAUUCAAUGCGUGUGAUCACAUGUUGUGGUGGCGGAAAUCACAGGCUCUCAAGCUUGAAUGUAUGGAACAAAAAAUGAUAGAAAAAUAUUUUUUUUACGGAUCCAGAAAUGGAUAGUAUGUAAGCAUGAUAGUUACAAUGAUUUGAUAAUUGAAAGUAUUUAUUAGUUGCUGGGUUGAAACCGUGGUAUAUGUGACCUAUUAAGAGUUGAUUAAAUCAUGAUACAUAGGAAAAUCAUUGGUUAUAGCUUGCCCAAUAAAUAUAGGAAAAUGAUAUAAUUUGUGUAAUUGGAGAUAAUCAGUGGAGGAUUUUAAUUAUUUUGGGGAAGCUAAAUGACCAUUAGCGCUAUCGAUAACUGUGGUGAAUCAUAGCCACUUGUUUGGGAUAAGAAUGGAAAGCAUGUGGGUGUACACUUAUGCUAUAUGAUAAGAAUUUUGUAGAGGACAAAAUGAUAAUAUUAUAUAGAAUGUUGAUAAAUAAAAUACAAUGUUUUAUUUUGUAUAUUAUGCAUUGAGGAGCUUAACAUUCAUGUGUACUUCGAGAAGAGAUUAGGAUUGGCUUAUGACUGCCUUGACCAAUUAAAUGAUAGGUUACAAAAUGAGAAAGAUAAGUAGUGACAAAUGAGGUUAGAGGGAAAAAAAAGAAAUAAAAAUUUACUCGAUGGGUUACUUAUUGGUAUAGAAACUUGGGGUCAAGGAGAUAGAAAAUGAUUACAUAUAGAGAAUAUGAAAUUUAUGGUGAAGUGGAAUUAUGUAUGGUAGUAUAGCGGUUAAGGAAAAUGGUCGGAAAAAAAAAGGAAUAAUAGAGGGAAGGACUAAGAGUUCCAUUCAAGGAAAUAAAACUUUGAUAGGAAUAUAUAAUUGGGGACGUGUGGUCGGAAGUGACCAGGAAUAGAAAGAAAAGAGUAUGAAUUAGUGUUAAAUCACUGUUUACAUGUUAUGUGCAAUAGUAGCAUAAAUUUAAGGAUAGGAGGAAAGAAAUGACAUCGGGUUCUAUAUAAGUAUGUAUAUUUAUCGAAAGAAUGAGAAAGGAAAGAAAAUAAUAAAGAGAGGUGUGGACAUCCAUUAAGGUUGUGAAUUGGGUAUACAGUGGUAUCGAUAUUCGAUCGUUAAAUAUGGGUAUAAUGAUUUUUAAUAAGGGUCAACAAAUUAAGUACGGUGAAUCAUCUUGUUCAACUUGGGAGACGAGACAUGAUUAAAUUUUGUUGUUAUAUGGUACGAUGAUUUUCACUUAGCAAGGUUAUUUUAUUAUGAAAGGCAUUGUGAAUAGUGAUAAAACAAAGGAAAUGACUGUUUUACAUAAACAGAAUUAUGUUACAAUAUAGUCUGAUUAAAAUGUGAAUUGAUUUUCCUUUAGCCAUUAUUGGCUUUAUUAUGUUGGUUUAUAAGUUAUUGAGGACGACAUAUUAAAUUAUAAAUAUGGCUUAGUUUUAAGAGUUAUUUGUGAUUCCAUUGGGAUGACUAUCAUGUCAGUUAUAUGUUGAAUUUCAUGAGUAGAAUAUCUUAUUUUGAUCAUAAAGAUUUGAUAAAAAUUUCAGGUAUGACAUGUUAUUGUACUUUAGAGCCUAAAAGGUGAAAAAAUGUUCUAUUAGAUAUGAGGUAGUUUUGAGCAUGUCAUUUAAGUGCACAGGAUUUUGUGGACACAUUACAGAAAGUCAGCAAGGACAUAUCAUCACAUUGUACUACCAAGGAAGAUGGAAUACUAAUUAUGGUAAACAAGUUAUUUGGUCGAGAUGAUUCCCAAUAAUUAAAAAAAGGGGAAUAGAGAUAAAGUCUAGGUGUUGUGUUUUUCUUUCUUUAUUUAAGAAUUUGGUAAGCUUGAGUUUCUUACUUUAUUAUGAGUAAGUAUAUUUGGAGUUGUGCAAAACUUUGGAUUCUCUCUAUAUAUAAUUGUUGUGCUUGAGAGAAUUAAAUUGACAAUGAAACGUGAAGCAUGGAAAGAAAAGAAUGAGGAAUUGAAGACUGUAGUAAUAAAUUGUGUUAUAUAUGGUCAUAAUUGAAAAGUGAAAAUGGAAAAUUAGAAGAGAAGAAGAUAAGCAGAAUAUGUCUAUGGGUAUUGCAAGGAAUGAAUAGUUGUAGAGAAAGAAAGGAAAAAUUUAAAAUGAAAAGUUGAAUGAAUUUAUAUGAUAAAUUUUAGUGCUGUUUUUGUCAAACCUUGGAUUUCCAGAUUUUUCAUGGUUUGAAUGAAUUUAUAUGAUAAAUAUUGAAGCCUGUGUAUUGGACUAACUAUGUAUAGGGGUUGUAUAUGUAUUAAGGUAGUGAUUUUAAGGAAGUGUGAGUGUUGUAAUGGAUUUGAUAAUAUAUGGUGACUAGUUGAUAAAUCAUUAAAGAGAAGAAAAGUUGGAGAAUUGGAGAUGUAAGAGUAAGUAUAGAAGUUGAGAGGUUAAAUGGUGG
RNAcentral lists this long non-coding RNA (3904 nucleotides) under Olea europaea (common olive). RNAcentral's name for it is "long non-coding RNA (OEUR_LNC006890)". Lineage: Eukaryota; Viridiplantae; Streptophyta; Magnoliopsida; Lamiales; Oleaceae. The record is from RNAcentral.